This 501-nucleotide ribosomal RNA is filed under the name uncultured bacterium. Its description in RNAcentral is "partial 16S ribosomal RNA". It matches the Rfam family "Bacterial small subunit ribosomal RNA", at positions 29 to 523 of the family's 1533-position model. The record is from RNAcentral.
AUUGAACGCUGGCGGCAUGCCUUACACAUGCAAGUCGAACGGCAGCACGGGUGCUUGCACCUGAUGGCGAGUGGCGAACGGGUGAGUAAUACAUCGGAACGUACCUUAUCGUGGGGGAUAACGCAGCGAAAGCUGUGCUAAUACCGCAUACGCCUUGAGGGGGAAAGCGGGGGAUCGCAAGACCUCGCGCGAUUAGAGCGGCCGAUGCCUGAUUAGCUUGUUGGUGGGGUAAAAGCCCACCAAGGCGACGAUCAGUAGCUGGUCUGAGAGGACGAUCAGCCACACUGGGACUGAGACACGGCCCAGACUCCUACGGGAGGCAGCAGUGGGGAAUUUUGGACAAUGGGGGCAACCCUGAUCCAGCAAUGCCGCGUGAGUGAAGAAGGCCUUCGGGUUGUAAAGCUCUUUUGUCAGGGAAGAAACACCGGCUCUAACACAGUCCGGGAAUGACGGUACCUGAAGAAUAAGCACCGGCUAACUACGUGCCAGCAGCCGCCGCGG